This 327-nucleotide ribosomal RNA is filed under the name uncultured eukaryote. Its description in RNAcentral is "partial 18S ribosomal RNA". It matches the Rfam family "Eukaryotic small subunit ribosomal RNA", at positions 1470 to 1796 of the family's 1831-position model. The record is from RNAcentral.
CCCUUAGAUGUUCUGGGCCGCACGCGCGCUACACUGACGAAUGCAACGAGCUUAUAACCUUGGCCGAAAGGUCUGGGUAAUCUCCAAAUUUCGUCGUGAUGGGGAUAGAUUAUUGCAAUUAUUAAUCUUCAACGAGGAAUGCCUAGUAAGCGCAAGUCAUCAGCUUGCGUUGAUUACGUCCCUGCCCUUUGUACACACCGCCCGUCGCUCCUACCGAUUGAAUGGUCCGGUGAAGCGUUCGGACCGUGGCCUUUGGACGGUUCGCCGUCGAUUGGCUGUGGGAAGUUCGUUAAACCUUNUNAUUUAGNGGAAGGAGAANUCGUANCA